RNAcentral lists this ribosomal RNA (403 nucleotides) under uncultured bacterium. RNAcentral describes it as "bacterial SSU rRNA". It matches the Rfam family "Bacterial small subunit ribosomal RNA", at positions 355 to 774 of the family's 1533-position model. The record is from RNAcentral.
UGGGGAAUUUUGGACAAUGGGCGAAAGCCUGAUCCAGCCAUGCCGCGUGAGUGAAGAAGGCCUUCGGGUUGUAAAGCGCUUUUCGGGGAGAAGAGGAAGGACGGUAUCCCCGGAAUAAGGCUCGGCUAACUACGUGCCAGCAGCCGCGGUAAAACGUAGGAGCCAAGCGUUAUCCGAAUUCACUGGGCGUAAAGCGCGUGCAGGCGGCCUGGUAAGUUGGAUGUGAAAUCUCCCGGCUCAACUGGGAGAGGCCGUUCAAGACUGUCAGGCUAGAGGGCGACAGAGGGAGGUGGAAUUCCGGGUGUAGUGGUGAAAUGCGUAGAUAUCCGGAGGAACACCAGAGGCGAAGGCGACCUCCUGGGUCGUACCUGACGCUGAGAUGCGAAAGCUAGGGGAGCGAACG